UACGGGGGGGGCAAGCGUUGUUCGGAAUUACUGGGCGUAAAGGGCUUGUAGGUGGCCAACUAAGUCAGACGUGAAAUCCCUCGGCUUAACCGGGGAACUGCGUCUGAUACUGGAUGGCUUGAGUGUGGGAGAGGGAUGCGGAAUUCCAGGUGUAGCGGUGAAAUGCGUAGAUAUCUGGAGGAACACCGGUGGCGAAGGCGGCAGCCUGGACCAUUACUGACACUGAAAAGCGAAAGCCAGGGGAGCAAACGGG
This 253-nucleotide ribosomal RNA is filed under the name uncultured bacterium. RNAcentral describes it as "partial 16S ribosomal RNA". It matches the Rfam family "Bacterial small subunit ribosomal RNA", at positions 524 to 776 of the family's 1533-position model. The record is from RNAcentral.